AGCAGCCGCGGUAAUUCCAGCUCCAAUAGCGUAUAUUAAAGUUGUUGCAGUUAAAAAGCUCGUAGUUGAAUUUCGGGAUCAAUACGCCGGUCGUGCUUCGGUACGUACUAACGAUAUUGAUUUCUCCCUUCUGACGAACCGUGAUGUCAUUAAUUUGGUGUUACGGGGAGUCAGGACUGUUACUUUGAAAAAAUUGAGUGUUUAAAGCAAGCAAUCGCUCGAAUACAUUAGCAUGGAAUAAUGAAAUAGGACGUUCGAACCUAUUUUGUUGGUUUCUAGGAUCGACGUAAUGAUUAAUAGGGAUAGUUGGGGGCAUUAGUAUUCAAUUGUCAGAGGUGAAAAUUCUUGGAUUUAUUGAAGACUAACUACUGCGAAAGCAUUUGCCAAGGAUGUUUUCAUUAAUCAAGAACGAAAGUUAGGGAUCGAAGACGAUCAGAUACCGUCGUAGUCUUAACCAUAAACCUAUGCCGACUAGGGAUCGGAUGAUGUUAAUUUUUAUGUACUCAUUCGGCGCCUUACG
This 520-nucleotide ribosomal RNA is filed under the name uncultured Glomus. RNAcentral's name for it is "SSU rRNA". It matches the Rfam family "Eukaryotic small subunit ribosomal RNA", at positions 569 to 1092 of the family's 1831-position model. Lineage: Eukaryota; Fungi; Glomeromycota; Glomeromycetes; Glomerales; Glomeraceae. The record is from RNAcentral.